This 255-nucleotide unclassified non-coding RNA is filed under the name Hevea brasiliensis (rubber tree). Lineage: Eukaryota; Viridiplantae; Streptophyta; Magnoliopsida; Malpighiales; Euphorbiaceae. The record is from RNAcentral.
UUGUACUUCAACCUCAAACCCCUAGGAACCCAUAAGUUGGAACUGUAAAAGCCUAGACAAUUAAAGAGUUCCCCUAUACCCUUAGCCUACCUCAAUCGAGUAUAUGCACAAGAAAAUUGAAAUCCUAAAGAACUUGAAAUAUAAAUACUGACAGAAAACUAAUAUGAUUCAGGACCUUAGACAGGUUCACAAUCACAAAGAAGAUACAUAUUGGAUCCAAUUAGGACGUGUAAUAGAGGAAAAUUUGAGAGGAGG